RNAcentral lists this transfer RNA (70 nucleotides) under Rigidipenna inexpectata. RNAcentral's name for it is "tRNA-Asp". It matches the Rfam family "tRNA". Rfam says of the family: Transfer RNA (tRNA) molecules are approximately 80 nucleotides in length. Their secondary structure includes four short double-helical elements and three loops (D, anti-codon, and T loops). Lineage: Eukaryota; Metazoa; Chordata; Aves; Caprimulgiformes; Podargidae. The record is from RNAcentral.
AGGAUGUUAGUAAAACUAAUUACAUAGCCUUGUCAAGGCUAAGCUACAGGUGAAAACCCAGUACUUCCUA